This 207-nucleotide ribosomal RNA is filed under the name uncultured bacterium. Its description in RNAcentral is "partial 16S ribosomal RNA". It matches the Rfam family "Bacterial small subunit ribosomal RNA", at positions 568 to 774 of the family's 1533-position model. The record is from RNAcentral.
CGCGUAGGCGGUUUGUUUAGUUAGGCGUGAAAUUCCUGGGCUUAACCUGGGGACUGCGCUUAAUACAGGCAGACUUGAGUUCGGAGGAGGGUCGUGGAAUUCCCAGUGUAGAGGUGAAAUUCGUAGAUAUUGGGAAGAACACCGGUGGCGAAGGCGGCGACCUGGUCCGAUACUGACGCUGAGGCGCGAAAGCGUGGGGAGCAAACA